AUUUUGUCCGCAGUUUAUUUUUUCAUUCGGGUGGAUUUAUCUCGCUUUGGGAGCGUUCGGCGUGGGUGCAGAAAAUUUCCGCGGUUUUCUUCAAAAAUUCGUCAAUUUGAGACUUUGUGGUUUGAGAGUGCAAAAAUGAUGGAAAAUUCACGCAGAAGAGAUGCGAUCGUUUUUGGAACACAAUCAGUGCCCAGGAUGACCAGCCCGGAAGCCUUACCCGGAUGCCCUAUUCAGGAAGCCCUGCCCGGACCCCUACCCGCAUGGCCUGCCUGAAUGCUCUACCCGGAUGCCCUGCCCGCUUUUGCUUUAAUUUUUGACAACAUUCCAAAAUGCGGAAAUAUCCGUUUGAAGCACAAAACUGUCCGUGCCUGGCUUCAGUCCUCAAUUUCUGGGAUCCGGUCUUACACAACUUUAUGCAACAUAAUUUUCCGGAAAUGGAAGUCCCGGAAGUCACAAAGGUGAAGAGGAGAGAUCAUCUGAAAAGCCGCCCAGCAUCGAAGGAGACAGCAGGAGAAGGAAAAGGCAACGCCGGAUAUAUUUUUUCAAUAUUUUUUUGUAAAUUUUAAAAAUAUUAAAUAAAUCUAUAUAAUAAAGGUCUGUUUGUUGGUAAUCUUCCGUCGUGUUCGGCUAUACAAAUCUACACCGUUUGACCGAUUGCGAUGAAAUUUGGUACAGACGCUCCUUAUAUCAGUCUGUUUCGAGUGGCCGUAUUCAUUUUCCCCCCAAAGCCCCCCUUUAGGUAGCCCCCAUAUAAAAUUCAUGCAUUUUUUGCGAAUUUUUAAAUUUGGCGCCGGAAAUGUUGCUUGAAAAUGAUUUCUUCUCUUUGCAAAUUUUUUUCUUUGGGUUUAAUGAGUGGCCCUAUUUUUUUUUACUUAUAAACCAUCACAAUUUUUUUCUCCAAAAUUUGCGCGAAGCGCAACAAAUCCCCGCGAAGCAAUUUGCAAAAAAAAACGCUUUUUUUAAAUUCAAAACGAAUUUCAACGGUAUAACAGAUUGGUGAAUUUUUUCAGAAAACUGCGGAAAUAUUCUGCAGAAAAAGUGUCCCAGCGCCAUACAAAAUUUCUAAAGAAUUUCUAAAGAACACGUGUUCAGAAUACCUUUAGUGCUUUCGAAUUUUUCUGCAGAAAUUCGGCAGCUAGUUUUUGAUGGGGAGGAGAGGUCAUAACCUCAAAGUUUUACCCCCAAAACCCUAUAUAAGUGCGGGAAGUGACUGCAGAAGUGCCUCGGAUUCCAUGAGCUCCACACUUAGAAGAAGAGGAGCUGCUGGUAGCCAGCCACCUAGAAGGCAGAAGAAAUACCCCGGUUCCACGAGCCCCCAGUCUGAGAGGAGCGUUUGUGGCAGUGUCGAGCCAGGAAGGAUGUCAAUUGACUUAAGUCACACCGGGAUCCAGGGCGUGAGGAGAGAUCUCACAAAAUCCCCAAUCACCAGAAAAUCUGUCGGAGAAUCUAGUGGGCCCGAAUCGAAGGAUGUCUUGGAUGAUGAUCUACCAUAUUGGAGUCAUUUAUCGUCCACUUCCUGCCCAGUGCCUCGCUCCAGGGAGGCUCAUCCCCAUCAGGAGCCACGAGGUCGUACCCGGAUAGACCAAGCUUUGGUCAUCUCCCACACUGGUGAAGAAAUCAAUGCCCACUGCUGCAUCCCAAGGAGAUUCAUCACGAAGUGAUUUACGGCGGAAUAAUAGAUCCGGAAGGUAGCUCCAUUGCUUUUCCGGAGGCUGCCCUAACUCUUACCUGGGAUUAUUCUUCAGAAUUUAUGCCACACUUAUUCUUAAAAAUAAACAGAUCCUGAGGUGACCUAUGCUGUUUUUCUUCCCCUCCCUCUCUCUUCUAGGCUCUCGUGGAAUCUCAUUCUUUGGGGCUACUUUAAAGCCGAAUAUGAUAAGGGUAAAUUUCAUCACAAAAAAAUUUUUUUUUAAAUUUUUUGAUAUAUUGUAGCUGACUAUAUUAUCUAGGCUCCAUGCCAAAAAUGCAGAAAAUCUAUGGAUCCGUUCUCGAGAUAUAGCCUUCCAAAGUUGGCAUGUCAUAUCUCGGGUUCUACAAGUCCGAUGUUGAUCAACUCAAGCGCAAAUGAAAGGUUUCGUGAAACUCUACAAAUGUCUAGAACAUUGCAACUUCGAGAAAUGACCGCAAGAGACGCUAAAAUCGAAAACAAAACUUUCGAAAAUUUCGAACUCGAAUUUUUUGAAAAUGGCGACAUAAUUUUUUUUCGUUUUUCGAUAUGUUAUAGCUGACUUCAAGACAUGACUUUUCAACUUUUCCCGACUUUACGCGUAUUUAAAUUAAUUCGCGUUCUAAGUUUGCUCUCACAAAAUUAAUACACUGAAAGAAACACAGCUCUCGUUAGCUUGGUCAGCUUACCAGUACAUUUCCUAAUUUUCUUUACAUGAUCUUGAAGUAAUAAAACUCCCCUAUACACCAAUGUAGAAUUCAUCACGAAAUAUGAAUAGAUUUUAAUUCUAUGACGAUUGAAAAAAGUCGAAUUGGCUACUUUUGUCAGCAAAAUCCUCCAAGGGUUAAAAAGAUUUACUGAGAUUUUGGUCCAAAUAUAACAGGGGUAUUUUUCCGAACAACUGUGGCCUUGUCCGUUCCUUGGCCUUUGAGCGCAGAAGCACAGGAAUUUGACUUCAAAUCCCAGAUGCUCCUGGCAGGUAGAAGCGAAUCCAGAAUAUUCGGAAUCAAACCCUUUUUCAUAUUCUAAAACAGACUGCUUUUUAAUCUAUGGAAAUGUCUCAUGUGGUCUUUCAAAACAUAAUUCACAAAAAAUUCAAUAUUUUUCCACAUAAAAUAUCCUGAAACAAAUCCAAAUACUCAAAUUCAUGUAGAAUAAUCGUCAAUAUGGUCUAUACGUUGACACUAAAUAAUAUUUCUAUGGAUAAAAAACUCACAAAAAAUUGAAAAGGCACCUCGACAGAUCCUUACAAAUCAUAUGAUUUUGUAAAAAAAAUCAUUUCAACCUUUCAUUUGCGCUUGAGUUGAUAAAGAUCGGACUUGUAGAACCCGAGAUAUGACAUGCCAACUUUGAAAGGCUAUAUCUCGAAAACGAAUCCAUAGAUUUUCUUCAUUUUUGGCAUGGAGCUAGAUAAUAUGGUCAGCUAUAACAUAUAUGGAUCCGCGCCAAAGGCACAUUUCGGCACGAAUCGGGAAUGGUCGCGCGCCACCUAUCAACGGUCAAAAACCUGUCAUAUACUCUCCCAAAAAGCGCGCAAUAGACACGACAUGCACGCCAACGCAGUGAAGCAAAAUUCUCAAUUAUAUUAUUAAUUCUCUUAUAUUCUUUGUUAAUUUAAAUAAAUAUUGAAGUUGUGAAGUGGAAGGAGAUUUUUCAAUGCUGGAAAUCCGGUCGCUUCGACCCGGAAGCCACAACUAACGCCCUAUAUUUCUCCAGGUACGUCCACCUCACCUUCCAAUAUAAAAAAAUGAAAAAAAAAUUAUG
Molecule: long non-coding RNA, 3430 nt
Organism: Lutzomyia longipalpis
Lineage: Eukaryota; Metazoa; Arthropoda; Insecta; Diptera; Psychodidae
Exons: 4
Source: RefSeq, a predicted model, not a curated record